RNAcentral lists this small RNA (496 nucleotides) under Vigna angularis var. angularis. RNAcentral describes it as "Non-protein coding transcript". The record is from RNAcentral. Lineage: Eukaryota; Viridiplantae; Streptophyta; Magnoliopsida; Fabales; Fabaceae.
UGGAAAGAUUGAGUAAGCUUGCAACUUUUCAGAGAAAGGCUCUUUAGCAUGCUUUAUUUUUUCCAGCUCUUGAAAGAAUUGUCUAUAGUACAUGUUCAAUUAACCAAAUUGAGAAUGAGGAUGUGAUCAAAUCUGUUCUUUCCAUUGCCGAAUCAUACGGAUUUCAAUUGGCCAAGCCCUUCCCCGAGUGGCAGUGCCGUGGUCUUCCGGUGUUUGAAGGCUCUGAAUGCCUGAUUCGGACAGAUCCUGCUACGCAUGGCGAGAGUUUCUUCAUUGCUUUGUUUGUUAGGAAAGAUGCAUCUUGGGAUUGUUCAAAUAAAAACGAAACUAGAAUUUUACGUAGCACUCCCGGAAUUAAAAACGCGCAAGGAAAGAAGAAACGUAUGCCGAUUAUUAGCACGAACCCAUUCAAAAUGUGGUUAUAUGAUCAACUGAUGUAGCUUCCGAAAUGGGAGGGUAUAAGGAGGUGACCAAGAUAAAAUUAGAGGUGUAAAAU